RNAcentral lists this long non-coding RNA (559 nucleotides) under Cricetulus griseus (Chinese hamster). Its description in RNAcentral is "lncRNA (ENSCGRG00015040407.1)". Lineage: Eukaryota; Metazoa; Chordata; Mammalia; Rodentia; Cricetidae. The record is from RNAcentral.
GUGGGACUCCACAUACUAGCCCAACUCAAGCAGGGGAAGGAGAGGAAUACCAACUGAGCCAAUCAUUCCGGGGGACAGCAAGUGGGCUGCCAGCCAGCCUUCCUUGUGCGGCUGGGCCUGGGAACCCUGUGGGAUGUACACAGCUCAGGCUGGAGCUGGCUCUUCCUGAGACUCUGCUUCACCCCAUCUCCUGUUCUCUCUCUCCACUAGAAGAGGACCUAUUCCAUCAUUAGUGCAAUUCUGCAGCCCCACCCUGACCCACCUGAGACCUUGAAGGAGGAACUCGGCUAUACUCUCACUCCAGGUCAUGUUCAUGAGGCUGACAAAGACACUGAAAACUCUCCUGAGGUCACCAAUGCUGCCAAUCCAAGAAAGCAUUCAGGAUGUCACCACGGCCCUCCACAGCUGUAUCUCAGAUGAUACCCACCACAUUUGAUAUCUUUAAAUGGUUCCAAAGUCUAGCCCUGAUCUGAUGACAGAUGGUCACACACUCAUGAGGUUCCUGUAAACAGGACCAGGAUGGUCCUGACAGUGUUUUGUGGGUUUGCUUUGCUCUGAG